UGGACUCCACACGACUGGCGCGGGUGGGUGACCACCGGGGAGUGACGCACGGAGCAUCGACCGCCUGGGUGCUCCCC
Regulatory RNA element from Nocardioides sp. JS614, 77 nucleotides. It matches the Rfam family "ZMP/ZTP riboswitch aptamer (pfl RNA motif)". Rfam says of the family: Previously known as pfl RNA. ZMP is also known as AICAR. The record is from Rfam. Lineage: Bacteria; Bacillati; Actinomycetota; Actinomycetes; Propionibacteriales; Nocardioidaceae.